CCGACGGAGCAUAGAUAUGUGGACACGCCGGCUUGCCAGCCGAGCGGAUGUGGAUAAUAUCGCUAAUAAGAAUGCCCAUACAAAGCUCUACAGUACUAACACGUCCACAUCAAGCUCUUUUGUCUAUUUCGUCAAGUUAAACUCGGCUGACGAAGGGAGAAUGACAUCACCGGCGACGCUGAAGCAGAUAUAAAGAUUUGAGGAAAUCCAAGCCACAUGUAAGAUCGACCCACCAAGAAGUCAAGCAGAAGCAUCAAUCUGGGGACAUGGAUUCCCUUUAUGUAGCCAACGAUCCCAAGGUUGCAGGAGAGAGACAGGCCCAGAGCUCCAUCUCUCUCUCUCUCUCGAUCUCCAGUCAAGCCGCCUUCUUCCUCAGAGAAGCAUGGCAAAGGUUCGCUUCGCAAGAGGGAUGGCGCCGUCGGCCAUGAUUGUCCUCUGCAAUUCGGUGAGUGGGUAUUACAUGGAGAGUCUUUCGGUGUACGUGCUAGAACAAACCAUGGGGAGGUGUCGGCGUCGCGAACUUUAGAUACCCGUUGCAUGUCUCCUAGGGUUUGCUCGAAAUGCCCGCGAUCACAGAUUCUCUCUUACUUGGAGUUGCCUUUGAGUCACGUCUGUCACCCACCCGGUUGAACGUAACCUUAACUGUUCGAUGUACGUGUGUAUCUGCCGGGAAAUCAACUGGCUGAUGGUCCGGACAGAUGUGUCGUGUUUACAGAGGAGUUCCAUAUCGGAAUGAGUUCUCUUGAAAAUUCAAAACGGGUUUGUUCUGUCGAUGGAGUCGCUCCGUGUAAUACUUUUCGCGCGAACGAGAUCAGGCCGCCGGCACCAUUUCUCCCGCGCAGCAAACCUUCGUUCACAUGCAGCGACGAGCUCGGUUUCGAGGAAGAUUUGCAGCGCAGAGAUGCGACGGCUAGUUCAAAGGUCAGUGUGUUGAUUGAUCUGCGUUCCCCUUUCAGGACGAUGGACUUUUCGUGUCUCAGUUUCAGGUUGGGACUGUGAGCGGCUUUCAAAGCAGGCCUUUGGCCUGAGCUAAGAUGAGGAAAUGCUGUCCAGAUCCGUAAUGAUUUUCUCUUGCUGUCGAGAGCUCUUUCGGGCAUUCCAUGCAACGACGGAUCCACCAGGAAGGCUGACGUGAAGAUUCAUGCAAUUUUCUGUCGGAGCCCAUGCUGAAUCUUCACACCCGUCCCCGAAGAUGAUUUCUGCAAUUUUCGGGCGUGGCGGCAUCAUCCCGAAUGGAGCCUGCUAAAGCGUGCCGGCACAGCGUGUAGGAUGUCGAUCUGGAGACGUUCUUGGGUGCAUCGGGUCACGUGAGUUCCGAUACAUCCCUUUCCUUAGUUCGUGCGGCUUCCGCCGGGACCGAACGACAUGAAGAUUCGUGCAAUUUUCUGUCGGAGCCCAUGCUGAAUCUUCACGCCCGUCGAUUCCCCAGAGAUGAUUUCUGCAAUUUUCGGGCGUGGCGGCAUCAUCCCGAAUGGAGCCUGCUAAAGCGUGCCGGCACAGCGUGUAGGAUGUCGAUCUGGAGACGUUCUUGGGUGCAUCGGGUCACGUGAGUUCCGAUACAUCCCUUUCCUUAGUUCGUGCGGCUUCCGCCGGGACCGAACGACAUGAAGAUUCGUGCAAUUUUCUGUCGGAGCCCAUGCUGAAUCUUCACGCCCGUCGAUUCCCCGAAGAUGAUUUCUGCAAUUUUCGGGCGUGGCGGCAUCAUCCCGAAUGGAGCCUGCUAAAGCGUGCCGGCACAGCGUGUAGGAUGUCGAUCUGGAGACGUUCUUGGGUGCAUCGGGUCACUUUUCUGUCGGAGCCUAUGCUGAAUCUUCACGCCCGUCGAUUCCCCAGAGAUGAUUUCUGCAAUUUUCGGGCGUGACGGCAUCAUCCCGAAUGAAGCCUGCUAAAGCGUGCCGGCACAGCGUGUAGGAUGUCGAUCUGGAGACGUUCUCGGGUGCGUCGGGUCACGAGAGCCCGAUACAUCCCUUUCCUUUGUUCAUGCGGCUUCCGCCGGGACCGAUCGACGUGAAAGAUCCUGAUGGCUCCGAGCUUACGAGCACCCGGAUCACAUAAGAGUUUCUUCUUUGUUUGUGGGAAAUAAUUUGAUUAUUUCAUGCUUGUGCCGACUAAUGUGUACGACCGGCGCUCCACCUUUUCCAUGUGGUCUUUUAAAGAAUUUGGUUAUGAGCUGUUUUCAGGUUGACGGGUUCAUCAUCAUCUGGCAAGAACUGAACUGGCUUCAGCUAUUGGCUGUGUACUGUACUGUAUUGUUGUUUGAUUCACCAUCAAUGCAUACUGUCGGGGCGACGCAACGUUAUAUUGAA
Long non-coding RNA from Syzygium oleosum, 2306 nucleotides. RefSeq lists it as uncharacterized. Lineage: Eukaryota; Viridiplantae; Streptophyta; Magnoliopsida; Myrtales; Myrtaceae. The transcript has 2 exons. The record is from RefSeq and is a predicted model, not a curated record.